RNAcentral lists this ribosomal RNA (479 nucleotides) under uncultured bacterium. RNAcentral's name for it is "SSU rRNA". It matches the Rfam family "Bacterial small subunit ribosomal RNA", at positions 26 to 523 of the family's 1533-position model. The record is from RNAcentral.
AGAACGAACGCUGGCGGCAGGCUUAACACAUGCAAGUCGAACGUCCUGUCUCGCAAGAGGCAGGGAGUGGCGGACGGGUGAGUACCACGUGGGUUAUCUACCGUGAGGUGAGGAAUACCGGCGAGAAAUCGCCGACAAGACCGCAUAGCCUCGGUGCAAGCCGAGCAAAGCUCUUUCGAGAGAGGGAGCGCCACACGAGGAGCCUGCGCCCGAUUAGCUAGCUGGUGGAGUAACGGUUCACCAGGGCGACGAUCGGUAGCUGGUCUGAGAGGACGAUCAGCCACACUGGGAUUGAGAACGGCCCAGACUCCUACGGGGGGCAGCAGUGAGGAAUUUUCGUCAAUGGGGGCAACCCUGAACGAGCAACGCCGCGUGCAGGAAGAAGGUUUUCGGAUCGUAAACUGCUUUUCUCGGGGAAGAGAAUGGACGGUACCCGAGGAAUCGAGCCCCGGCUAACUACGUGCCAGCAGCCGCGGUAA